Molecule: ribosomal RNA, 774 nt
Filed under: uncultured Neocallimastigales
Lineage: Eukaryota; Fungi; Neocallimastigomycota; Neocallimastigomycetes; Neocallimastigales
Description: partial large subunit ribosomal RNA
Rfam family: Eukaryotic large subunit ribosomal RNA
Source: RNAcentral
CGUCUAUAUACGUAUAGCAUAUCAAUAAGCGGAGGAAAAGAAACUAACUAGGAUUCCCUCAGUAACGGCGAGUGAAGCGGGAAGAGCUCAAAUUUGAAAUCUUCAAGGUUUUACCUUGACGAAUUGUAGUUUAAAGAAGUGUUUUCUGUUGGUGUUUUGGUAAAAGUUCUUUGGAAUAGGACAUCAUAGAGGGUGAGAAUCCCGUAUUUGACCAUUACUUCCAGCGUUGUGAUACACUUUCAAAGAGUCGGAUUGUUUGGGAAUGCAGUCCAAAAUGGGUGGUAAAUUUCAUCUAAAGCUAAAUACUGGCGAGAGACCGAUAGCGAACAAGUACCGUGAGGGAAAGAUGAAAAGAACUUUGAAAAGAGAGUUAAACAGUACGUGAAAUUGUCAAAAGGGAAGCGUUUGACACCAGUGUUGUUUUCUCGAAAAUCAAUUAAAAAUGGCGGGAUUUUGUGUUGUAUUGACUUUAUCAGCUUUCUGCACUUUUUUCCUGUCUUUUUUAAUGCACUUUUCGUUUAACAAGUCAACAUCAAUUUCUUUUGUUGUAAAAGGGUCAUUGGAAGGUGGCUUUCUUUUCGGAGAAAGUGUUUAUAGCCUUUGGCUUCUGCAAUCGGAGAGAUUGAGGUCUGCAGCGUAGAUCCUUCGGGGUUAGAUACAUUUGUGCUAAGUUAUAGCCUUUCAUAGACAACUUGUUGACUAUGAUCAGUCAUGUAGCUUACUCGCUUAUGUCAUUUUACCUACGCUUAGGAUGUUGACGAUCAGCUGAGCGCG